GACGAACGCUGGCGGCGUGCUUAACACAUGCAAGUCGAACGGAAAGGCCCUGCUUUUGUGGGGUGCUCGAGUGGCGAACGGGUGAGUAACACGUGAGUAACCUGCCCUUGACUUUGGGAUAACUCCAGGAAACUGGGGCUAAUACCGGAUAGGAGCUCCUGCUGCAUGGUGGGGGUUGGAAAGUUUCGGCGGUUGGGGAUGGACUCGCGGCUUAUCAGCUUGUUGGUGGGGUAGUGGCUUACCAAGGCUUUGACGGGUAGCCGGCCUGAGAGGGUGACCGGCCCCCUUGGGACUGAGAUACGGCCCAGACUCCUACGGGAGGCAGCAGUGGGGAAUAUUGCACAAUGGGCGGACGCCUGAUGCAGAAACGCCGCGUGCGGGAUGACGGCCUUCGGGUUGUAAACCGCUUUCGCCUGUGACGAAGAGUGAGUGACGGUAAUGGGUAAAGAAGCACCGGCUAACUACGUG
This 468-nucleotide ribosomal RNA is filed under the name uncultured bacterium. Its description in RNAcentral is "partial 16S ribosomal RNA". It matches the Rfam family "Bacterial small subunit ribosomal RNA", at positions 28 to 507 of the family's 1533-position model. The record is from RNAcentral.